This 66-nucleotide transfer RNA is filed under the name Agrilus planipennis (emerald ash borer). It matches the Rfam family "tRNA". From Rfam's summary of the family: Transfer RNA (tRNA) molecules are approximately 80 nucleotides in length. Their secondary structure includes four short double-helical elements and three loops (D, anti-codon, and T loops). Further hydrogen bonds mediate the characteristic L-shaped molecular structure. tRNAs have two regions of fundamental functional importance: the anti-codon, which is responsible for specific mRNA codon recognition, and the 3' end, to which the tRNAs corresponding amino acid is attached (by aminoacyl-tRNA synthetases). tRNAs cope with the degeneracy of the genetic code in two manners: having more than one tRNA (with a specific anti-codon) for a particular amino acid; and 'wobble' base-pairing, i.e. permitting non-standard base-pairing at the 3rd anti-codon position. The record is from Rfam by way of RNAcentral. Lineage: Eukaryota; Metazoa; Arthropoda; Insecta; Coleoptera; Buprestidae.
CUUGUAGCAUAGUGGACAGAGCAUUGGUGCGUUAAGCCAAAGGCCCCGGGUUCGAUUCCCGGCGAG